AACGAACGCUGGCGGCAGGCUUAACACAUGCAAGUCGAGCGCGUGUAGCAAUACACGAGCGGCGCACGGGUGAGUAACGCGUGGAUAUCUGCCUUUUGGUUCGGAAUAACCCCGGGAAACUGGGGCUAAUACCGGAUGGUUCCUACGGGAUAAAGAUUUAUCGCCAAAAGAUGAGUCCGCGUCCGAUUAGCUAGUUGGUGAGGUAACGGCUCACCAAGGCGACGAUCGGUAGCUGGUCUGAGAGGACGAUCAGCCACACUGGGACUGAGACACGGCCCAGACUCCUACGGGAGGCAGCAGUGGGGAAUAUUGGACAAUGGGGGCAACCCUGAUCCAGCCAUGCCGCGUGAGUGAUGAAGGCCUUCGGGUUGUAAAGCUCUUUUGGCGGGGACGAUGAUGACGGUACCCGCAGAAUAAGCCCCGGCUAACUUCGUGC
This 436-nucleotide ribosomal RNA is filed under the name uncultured bacterium. RNAcentral describes it as "bacterial SSU rRNA". It matches the Rfam family "Bacterial small subunit ribosomal RNA", at positions 29 to 508 of the family's 1533-position model. The record is from RNAcentral.